Molecule: ribosomal RNA, 405 nt
Filed under: uncultured bacterium
Lineage: Bacteria
Description: partial 16S ribosomal RNA
Rfam family: Bacterial small subunit ribosomal RNA
Source: RNAcentral
GACGAACGCUGGCGGCGUGCUUAACACAUGCAAGUCGAGCGGCGCGGCGAACGGGUGAGUAACGCGUGAGUAACUGCCCCCCUCUCUGUGAAUACAGUUGGAAACGGCUGCUAAUACCGACUAGUGGGGGAUGACUCGCGUCCUAUCAGCUUGUUGGGUGGGUAGUGGCCUACCAAGGCUACGACGGUUAGCCGGCAUGAGAGGGCGACCGGCCACAUUGGGCUGAGGUACGGCCCAAACUCGUACGGGAGGCAGCAGUGGGGAAUAUUGCGCAAUGGGGGAAACCCUGAUGCAGCAACGCCGCGUGCGGGAUGACGGCCUUCGGGUUGUAAACCGCUUUCAGCCAUGACGCGGUAGUGGCAGAAGAAGCACCGGCUAACUACGUGCCAGCAGCCGCGGUAAUUC